Talpa occidentalis (Iberian mole) is the source of this 74-nucleotide small nucleolar RNA. Lineage: Eukaryota; Metazoa; Chordata; Mammalia; Eulipotyphla; Talpidae. The record is from RefSeq and is a predicted model, not a curated record.
UUGCGAUGAUGUGAACUCCUUCCUGAAUCACACCUUGAAGUGCAACAUCAAUGAGCUUUUUAACCCUGAGCAAC